GAGUUUGAUCAUGGCUCAGGAUAAACGCUGGCGGCAUGCCUAACACAUGCAAGUCGAACGGGGUUUAUAUAGCGGAACUCUCCGGAGGGAAGCCGUAUAAACCUAGUGGCGGACGGGUGAGUAACGCGUGGGGAACCUGCCCUGUACCGGGGGACAACAGCCAGAAAUGGCUGCUAAUACCGCAUAAUCCUGCACUACCGCAUGGUGGUGCAGGGAAAACUCCGGUGGUACAGGAUGGCCCCGCGUCUGAUUAGCUUGUUGGCGGGGUAACGGCCCACCAAGGCAACGAUCAGUAGCCGGCUUGAGAGAGUGAACGGCCACAUUGGGACUGAGACACGGCCCAGACUCCUGCGGGAGGCAGCAGUGGGGAAUAUUGCACAAUGGGGGGAACCCUGAUGCAGCAAUGCCGCGUGGGUGAAGAAGUAUUUCGGUAUGUAAAGCCCUAUCAGCAGGGAAGAAAAUGACGGUACCUGACUAAGAAGCCCCGGCUAACUACGUGCCAGCAGCCGCGGUAAUACGUAGGGGGCGAGCGUUAUCCGGAUUUACUGGGUGUAAAGGGAGCGCAGGCGGCGUGGCAAGUCAGAUGUGAAAACCCGGGGCUCAACCCCGGGACUGCAUUUGAAACUGCCAUGCUGGAGUGCCGGAGAGGUAAGUGGAAUUCCUAGUGUAGCGGUGAAAUGCGUAGAUAUUAGGAGGAACACCAGUGGCGAAGGCGGCUUACUGGACGGUAACUGACGCCGAGGCUCGAAAGCGUGGGGAGCAAACAGGAUUAGAUACCCUGGUAGUCCGCGCCGUAAACGAUGAAUACUAGGUGUCGGGGAACAAUAGUUCUUCGGUGCCGCAGCAAACGCAUUAAGUAUUCCACCUGGGGAGUACGUUCGCAAGAAUGAAACUCAAAGGAAUUGACGG
This 909-nucleotide ribosomal RNA is filed under the name uncultured bacterium. RNAcentral's name for it is "bacterial SSU rRNA". It matches the Rfam family "Bacterial small subunit ribosomal RNA", at positions 9 to 916 of the family's 1533-position model. The record is from RNAcentral.